Molecule: ribosomal RNA, 701 nt
Filed under: uncultured bacterium
Lineage: Bacteria
Description: bacterial SSU rRNA
Rfam family: Bacterial small subunit ribosomal RNA
Source: RNAcentral
AGUGGCGGACGGGUGAGUAACACGUGGGUAACCUGCCUAAAAGAAGGGGAUAACACUUGGAAACAGGUGCUAAUACCGUAUAUCUCUAAGGAUCGCAUGAUUCUUAGAUGAAAGAUGGUUCUGCUAUCGCUUUUAGAUGGACCCGCGGCGUAUUAACUAGUUGGUGGGGUAACGGCCUACCAAGGUGAUGAUACGUAGCCGAACUGAGAGGUUGAUCGGCCACAUUGGGACUGAGACACGGCCCAAACUCCUACGGGAGGCAGCAGUAGGGAAUCUUCCACAAUGGACGCAAGUCUGAUGGAGCAACGCCGCGUGAGUGAAGAAGGUCUUCGGAUCGUAAAACUCUGUUGUUAGAGAAGAACACGAGUGAGAGUAACUGUUCAUUCGAUGACGGUAUCUAACCAGCAAGUCACGGCUAACUACGUGCCAGCAGCCGCGGUAAUACGUAGGUGGCAAGCGUUGUCCGGAUUUAUUGGGCGUAAAGGGAACGCAGGCGGUCUUUUAAGUCUGAUGUGAAAGCCUUCGGCUUAACCGGAGUAGUGCAUUGGAAACUGGAAGACUUGAGUGCAGAAGAGGAGAGUUGAACUCCAUGUGUAGCGGUGAAAUGCGUAGAUAUAUGGAAGAACACCAGUGGCCGAAAAGCGGCUCUCUGGUCUGUAACUGACGCUGAGGUUCGAAAGCGUGGGUAGCAAACAGGAUUA